ACAAAGAGCAGCAAGUUCGCGAGGACAAGCAAAUCUCAUAAACCGUGGCUCAGUUCAGAUCGUAGGCUGCAACUCGCCCACGUGAAGGAGGAAUCGCUAGUAAUCGCAGGUCAGCAUACUGCGGUGAAUACGUUCCCGGGCCUUGUACACACCGCCCGUCACACCAUGGAAGUUGGCCACGCCCGAAGCCGUUACUCCAACCCUUGUGGAGGAGGACGUCGAAGGUGGGGCUGAUGACUGGGGUGAAGUCGUAACAAGGUAGCCGUACCGGAAGGUGCGGCUGGAUCACCUCCUAA
RNAcentral lists this ribosomal RNA (296 nucleotides) under uncultured Synechococcus sp. RNAcentral's name for it is "partial 16S ribosomal RNA". It matches the Rfam family "Bacterial small subunit ribosomal RNA", at positions 1239 to 1533 of the family's 1533-position model. Lineage: Bacteria; Bacillati; Cyanobacteriota; Cyanophyceae; Synechococcales; Synechococcaceae. The record is from RNAcentral.